UUGGUGCCUUCGGGAACUGUGAGACAGGUGCUGCAUGGCUGUCGUCAGCUCGUGUUGUGAAAUGUUGGGUUAAGUCCCGCAACGAGCGCAACCCUUAUCCUUUGUUGCCAGCGGUUAGGCCGGGAACUCAAAGGAGACUGCCAGUGAUAAACUGGAGGAAGGUGGGGAUGACGUCAAGUCAUCAUGGCCCUUACGACCAGGGCUACACACGUGCUACAAUGGCAUAUACAAAGAGAAGCGACCUCGCGAGAGCAAGCGGACCUCAUAAAGUAUGUCGUAGUCCGGAUUGGAGUCUGCAACUCGACUCCAUGAAGUCGGAAUCGCUAGUAAUCGUAGAUCAGAAUGCUACGGUGAAUACGUUCCCGGGCCUUGUACACACCGCCCGUCACACCAUGGGAGUGGGUUGCAAAAGAAGUAGGUAGCUUAACCUUCGGGAGGGCGCUUACCACUUUGUGAUUCAUGACUGGGGUGAAGUCGUAACAAGGUAACCGUAGGGGAACCUGCGGUUGGAUCACCUCCUUA
Molecule: ribosomal RNA, 522 nt
Filed under: Klebsiella pneumoniae
Lineage: Bacteria; Pseudomonadati; Pseudomonadota; Gammaproteobacteria; Enterobacterales; Enterobacteriaceae
Also listed under: 30 other names
Description: bacterial SSU rRNA
Rfam family: Bacterial small subunit ribosomal RNA
Source: RNAcentral